This 873-nucleotide ribosomal RNA is filed under the name Vibrio sp. VibC-Oc-087. Its description in RNAcentral is "bacterial SSU rRNA". It matches the Rfam family "Bacterial small subunit ribosomal RNA", at positions 586 to 1458 of the family's 1533-position model. The record is from RNAcentral. Lineage: Bacteria; Pseudomonadati; Pseudomonadota; Gammaproteobacteria; Vibrionales; Vibrionaceae.
AGUCAGAUGUGAAAGCCCGGGGCUCAACCUUGGAAUUGCAUUUGAAACUGGCAGGCUAGAGUACUGUAGAGGGGGGGUAGAAUUCAGGUGUAGCGGUGAAAUGCGUAGAGAUAUGAAGGAAUACCGGUGGCGAAGGCGGCCCCCUGGACAGAUACUGACACUCAGAUGCGAAAGCGUGGGGAGCAAACAGGAUUAGAUACCCUGGUAGUUCACGCCGUAAACGAUGUCUACUUGGAGGUUGUGGCCCUGAGCCGUGGCUUUUGGAGCUAACGCGUUAAGUAGACCGCCUGGGGAGUACGGUCGCAAGAUUAAAACUCAAAUGAAUUGACGGGGGCCCGCACCAGCGGUGGAGCAUGUGGUUUAAUUUGAUGCAACGCGAAGAACCUUACCUACUUUUGACAUCCAGAGAACUUUCCAGAGAUGGAUUGGUGCCUUUGGGAACUUUGAGACAGGUGCUGCAUGGCUGUUGUCAGCUUGUGUUGUGAAAUGUUGGGUUAAGUCCCGCAACGAGCGCAACCCUUAUCCUUGUUUGCCAGCGAGUAAUGUCGGGAACUCCAGGGAGACUGCCGGUGAUAAACCGGAGGAAGGUGGGGACGACGUCAAGUCAUCAUGGCCCUUACGAGUAGGGCUACACACGUGCUACAAUGGCGCAUACAGAGGGCGGCCAACUUGCGAAAGUGAGCGAAUCCCAAAAAGUGCGUCGUAGUCCGGAUCGGAGUCUGCAACUCGACUCCGUGAAGUCGGAAUCGCUAGUAAUCGUGGAUCAGAAUGCCACGGUGAAUACGUUCCCGGGCCUUGUACACACCGCCCGUCACACCAUGGGAGUGGGCUGCAAAAGAAGUGGGUAGUUUAACCUUCGGGAGGACGCUCACC